RNAcentral lists this long non-coding RNA (733 nucleotides) under Homo sapiens (human). RNAcentral describes it as "HSALNT0295235". Lineage: Eukaryota; Metazoa; Chordata; Mammalia; Primates; Hominidae. The record is from RNAcentral.
CUCCCAAAGUGCUGGGAUUACAGGCGUGAGCCACUGUGCCUGGCCUGUCUGCCACCUUUGAUGGACAGUGUGACUACAGGGACAGAGGAAGAUUCCCCAAAGACCUGCACUCACCCCCUCUAAUGCAUGUCCAGACAUCGUCUGGCUCUCAGCACUCCCCUCCAUUGCCCAAAGCCCUUUUGCAGGACCUCUGCCUGUUCUGCCUGCUUUGUGCUUUGUUUUGUUGCAUUUUAUUUCCUUUUCUUUCCUGUUUCUAACCCAGUCAUCUCUUUUUCUAGUUAUUCCCAACCUAUAUAACUCACAUGCACUGGAGGAAAUAUCUUCAUGGAAUUAAAACCACAUGGAGUAACAUUUCACGUAAGCAGAAUUCAGGAAGGAUUUCAGUAAUUCCAUCCCAAACACACACAGGCAAAGGGAGUGAAGAUUUCUUCAGCAACAUGGUGGCAGAAAGAUCAUGAAAAGAUCUAGGCCAGUCCAAGCUCACUGCAGUUAAAUCUUCAGUCUCCAGCACUGCACUUGGGAAAGCGUCAAGGAGUUGACUGUAUAUGUAAUUGGAGUGCCAGAAGAAGAGAACCGAGAGAGAGGGGCAGAACAGCUCAUGAGGGGAAAACCCACUACAUACAAUCAAGAAUACUGCAGACUCCUCAUCGGAAUCUAUGUGGCCACAGAGUGCAUGUGCUAUGAGGGACCCGUCCGACAUAUACCCUCCCAGAAGAGCAGGAAAGGGGGUUCA